CAAGCAGUGUCUAAUCUUUCUGCAGAGAUUGACUGUUGUACAUUGCCAUUCCCAGUUCACGCUGUGCUACCUUUCAAGGCUGUGAUUGGAAUCCUUAUGGCUGCUCUGAGAAAAAAAAUCUAGAGAUAGAUGGCGUAGCAGGUUGGUGCCAGAUAUACUUUGAGAAUAACAGGUGAGUGCUGGGGAAAUAGAUCUUUUGACAACUUGGAGUGACUUUCUACAGUAAAGUCAAAAAGUAUCCUUCUCUCCAAAAACAAAACAAGACCAACUCUAUUGCUUGCCUUCAUCAUCUCACUAUACAAAGUACUGCUCUUAUAUUGAAUGAUUUUACUCAGAGUUUGAGUGAUAACAGUGUAGGAAGUUAUUUACAUGUAAUUGGGUGGGGGAGUGGAUGAGGUAGGAAGCCAAGGUCUGGAACCAAUGCAGAAAGAUAAUAAAGUGGUAGAAAUAAAAGUAUGGGACUUUGGGAAUUUAAAACUGUUUAAAGAUGAGUAUUGCCUGCCUUAAAGUAAAUUAGAGAGGAAAAUGAUGUGAGAAAUGGUAAGUUGAAGUGAAAACUCGUGAAAGAUGAGUCAUCCUCAUUUCCUACAGAAUAAAGUGCGGAAGAAUUUAUUUUUCUUCUUUUCAGAAUACACAACUGGAAAAGAGAAUUGGGAAAAUGGCAACUGAAUGUGUUCCUGUUUCCGCAGUACCGACCCUCUCCACAGCAGUUUGCAGCAUCGGGGGUGGGAUUUUCACUGUUAACGUGUCUGUGCCUCCAUCUCUCCUGCCAUUCUCUGUGUGGUCCCUUUAUCCUUUGUUUUGCUGUUCAGUCAGCCCUCAGUUCUUCAGGAGGAAUUGCUCUGUGUUUACCACAUUUUCUUUAUUUACGCAUUGGUGGACACUUAGGUGGCUUCCGUGUCUUGGCUAUUUUAAGUAAUGCUGCAAUGAAGAUGGGGGUGCAUGUAUCCAAAAGUAGGUUUUUUCAGCCUCUAUAACUAUGUGAUCCAAUUCCUAUAAUAUCUCUUCUCUUCUCUCUCUUCCUUUCUCCCUCCCUCUCUCUCUGUCUGUGUUAUUAUCUGUAUCCAUUUUAUUCUGUUUCUGGGAGAACCUUGACCAAUACAGAUUUUGGUACCAAGAAUGGUUCUAGAGGAAUAGAAAUUUAAGGUUGUUUUCUGAUUUGGUUCUGUUGUUUCUGGAAUUGGCUCUCUAAUCUGAUUAGAUUUAAAGAGACUAAUGAUUCUAUUUCCAUUAGGAAAGAGAACACUGAUAGUCCAGGGUGGAAACUGUUCAUAGAGAUAUGCAGAAACUCUACAUCAGAUACUCCUAAUCAACCACUCAUAAGAAGCAAGGAGCUAAGUGACACAGAAUGUAAUACUUUUCAACAUUUUUUUUGAAAACUAAGGAAUAUAAUAACAUUGGUUGGUUGUUUCUAAUGUUGCCGGACAGAGUGGUGAAAGAAAAGAGUGAGCACAGCGAUUUGAAUUUCCAGCUCAAGUGCCACAUAAAUGACCUAAGAGCAUUAUGUAUGCCUUGAAGGAGAGUCUUAUCUCAUAGCUGCAGGGUUGAAAUUGCUGAAAAUCAAAUACAGAAUCUUACCUUGUAAUUGGCUGAGUUACAACAUAAGUUUAACUCUCACCCUUGCAGGAUAUCUUCUGUUAAAGUGAGGGCAUUGAUUGGAAAAGA
This 1665-nucleotide long non-coding RNA is filed under the name Ursus americanus (American black bear). Its description in RNAcentral is "lncRNA (ENSUAMG00000014392.1)". The record is from RNAcentral. Lineage: Eukaryota; Metazoa; Chordata; Mammalia; Carnivora; Ursidae.